Molecule: ribosomal RNA, 250 nt
Filed under: uncultured bacterium
Lineage: Bacteria
Description: partial 16S ribosomal RNA
Rfam family: Bacterial small subunit ribosomal RNA
Source: RNAcentral
UACGUAGGGGGCAAGCGUUGUCCGGAUUUACUGGGCGUAAAGAGCGCGUAGGCGGAACGAUAAGCGGGGCCGGAAAGCCCCCGGCUCAACCGGGGAAGGGGCCGCGAACUGUCGUUCUUGAGGGGGAGAGAGGAGAGCGGAAUUCCUGGUGUAGCGGUGAAAUGCGUAGAGAUCAGGAGGAACACCCAUGGCGAAGGCAGCUCUCUGGCUUCACCCUGACGCUGAGGCGCGAAAGCGUGGGGAGCGAACG